RNAcentral lists this ribosomal RNA (254 nucleotides) under uncultured bacterium. RNAcentral describes it as "partial 16S ribosomal RNA". It matches the Rfam family "Bacterial small subunit ribosomal RNA", at positions 524 to 776 of the family's 1533-position model. The record is from RNAcentral.
UACGGAGGGUGCAAGCGUUGUUCGGAAUUAUUGGGCGUAAAGCGCGUGUAGGCGGCUUUGCAAGUCGGGUGUGAAAUCCCUCAGCUUAACUGAGGAAGUGCGCCCGAAACUGCCGAGCUUGAGUACCGGAGAGGGUGGCGGAAUUCCCCAAGUAGAGGUGAAAUUCGUAGAUAUGGGGAGGAACACCGGGUGGCGAAGGCGGCCACCUGGACGGAUACUGACGCUGAGACGCGAAAGCGUGGGGAGCAAACAGG